UAGAGUUUGAUUCCCUGUUCAGAUUGAACGCUGGCGGCAUGCCUUACACAUGCAAGUCGAACGGUAACAGGUCUUCGGACGCUGACGAGUGGCGAACGGGUGAGUAAUACAUCGGAACGUGCCCAGUCGUGGGGGAUAACUACUCGAAAGAGUAGCUAAUACCGCAUACGAUCUGAGGAUGAAAGCGGGGGACCUUCGGGCCUCGCGCGAUUGGAGCGGCCGAUGGCAGAUUAGGUAGUUGGUGGGAUAAAAGCUUACCAAGCCGACGAUCUGUAGCUGGUCUGAGAGGACGACCAGCCACACUGGGACUGAGACACGGCCCAGACUCCUACGGGAGGCAGCAGUGGGGAAUUUUGGACAAUGGGCGAAAGCCUGAUCCAGCAAUGCCGCGUGCAGGAUGAAGGCCUUCGGGUUGUAAACUGCUUUUGUACGGAACGAAAAAGCUCCUUCUAAUACAGGGGCCCAUGCGGACCGAA
This 476-nucleotide ribosomal RNA is filed under the name uncultured Delftia sp. RNAcentral describes it as "bacterial SSU rRNA". It matches the Rfam family "Bacterial small subunit ribosomal RNA", at positions 1 to 482 of the family's 1533-position model. The record is from RNAcentral. Lineage: Bacteria; Pseudomonadati; Pseudomonadota; Betaproteobacteria; Burkholderiales; Comamonadaceae.